UCUCGGUUUGCAUUGCCGGACCCCCUCACCGACCCAGUCCAUUCCUACCUACGUCUUCAGCCACUCGUCUCCGCCCAAGGUGAUACUCAAGCUGCUGCACUAAUCAAGAGCCAACAGUAGCUGCUGCACUUCUCCUCAAGAUUCUUUUUUAUUAAUGGAAUAGUAUAUGAGCUCAGUUUAUUAAUGGAACAGUAGAUGAGCCAGGGUAGAGCCUAGGGGAGGGUUAUGGGUGGUUGCACAUACCGACAUCCGCAUCAUGUCUAGUCAGCUGCUAUCAUUGAAGGGAACUGCAGCUAAAACAAGAGUGCAGGGAAUUUUUUGUGUUAAUUGAGGUGUCUAUCUACAACCGUCAAGUUAUAUGCUAAAACAGUUAUUAAUCUGCUACUUUCUUUCAACAUGGCAGCAAUCUUCGCAAUUUCAGAUUACUGGGAGUACAGGAGCAGUGAAUCUCCAAUUCCAAGUACGUUGUCUUGCGGGUAUAUCUUUGCCUUUUCUAUUGUUUGGUGGUUGGAGAUCUUGACCUGUGUUCUCCCCCUUCAUUGUUCAUGUGAGUGCAUCUCGAUCUUCCCUAGAGGAGCAGCAUCAAAUAUUUUGCCUGGAUGGAGUGGUUGGAGCAGGUGAGGUAGUUUGCUUGCUGGAGAAGAAGAUCAAUCAUGUGUCUAUGGGCUUACAGGGAUGUUGUUCUGUUGUAUGUGCUUUUCUUACCCGUGUACUUUUCUAUUUUUCGUGGGUUUAUACUGUAACAUGCUUAAAGAAGCUGGUAGAACUGAACGUGAAAUGAAGACUCAAAAAUGAAACUCAAGGUGUGCUCUACAAAAUAUGUCUGUUCACCAAAGACUAAAACAGACACAUUUUCUAACUGAGUGUUUUUAAUUGAUAUGAUUAUUCAGUUUAACAAUUGUCAUUAUUUCAUUGGCUUAGAAAAAAGUGUCUGUUCCUCAAU
Molecule: non-coding RNA, 943 nt
Organism: Lolium perenne
Lineage: Eukaryota; Viridiplantae; Streptophyta; Magnoliopsida; Poales; Poaceae
Source: RefSeq, a predicted model, not a curated record